This 73-nucleotide transfer RNA is filed under the name Paramuricea clavata. It matches the Rfam family "tRNA". From Rfam's summary of the family: Transfer RNA (tRNA) molecules are approximately 80 nucleotides in length. Their secondary structure includes four short double-helical elements and three loops (D, anti-codon, and T loops). Lineage: Eukaryota; Metazoa; Cnidaria; Anthozoa; Malacalcyonacea; Plexauridae. The record is from Rfam by way of RNAcentral.
GACCGCGUAGCUCAGUUGGCAGAGCAUUGGGUUAGUAUUCCAAAGGUCGUAGGUUCGAUUCCCACUGUGGCCG